GACACGACUCUCGACAAUGGAUAUCUCAGCUCUCGCAUCGAUGAAGAGUGCAGCAAAAUGCAAUACAUGGUGCAAAUUGCUGAAUCACACGAAC
Molecule: ribosomal RNA, 94 nt
Filed under: Koellensteinia florida
Lineage: Eukaryota; Viridiplantae; Streptophyta; Magnoliopsida; Asparagales; Orchidaceae
Description: 5.8S ribosomal RNA
Rfam family: 5.8S ribosomal RNA
About the family: 5.8S ribosomal RNA (5.8S rRNA) is a component of the large subunit of the eukaryotic ribosome. It is transcribed by RNA polymerase I as part of the 45S precursor that also contains 18S and 28S rRNA.
Source: RNAcentral